AUGUGCCUGAUAGUCUAUUUCAUCACAAAACACUGGAAAUAUAGCAGAGUUACUAAUCAGGCAGAGGAUGGACCCGUCUUACAGAAGGACUCUGUGAAAGAGUUCCCAAGAAGCGUGACCGAUGUCCCUUCAGUAUCCCCACUUCCCCAUAACUGUGUGAUAAAAGCAAAUAGGACAAGGGGCUUUCAGAAGGAAAGUGAAGCAGACACAAUAGAAAAAGCACUGUGUGACCAUUUGAAGAACAUGUUCCAAUCCAGCAGAGAACAUUCAGAAACAAGCUCCCCAGUGAAGAUGCCUGGAGUGGCCUUGCUGCCGACUCACAGUCCCACAAGUAAACAGAUCAUGACGAUCUGUAAAGAUGGAAUGGAAAUUGGAAGAUUAACUGACCAUCCAGACAAAGCCACAAGCCCAGCACUCCCGCAAGUGGGCAACAAAAAUGUGGAGAGAGCCGCUGAAAUUCCCAGAUGUGUCAGUGCACCAGGCUUAUUUCCUAAUGUGGAGAAACAACCUUCUCCAAAAAGGGACCUUGGUUUGCAUUUCUCAUCGUCGAGCCAUGAAAAAACAAUCCCGAUGAGGGAGUGGAUGGAGAAUGGGGAACCUGCCUUGGUGAAAUAUUUUGAAACCCAGUGGGAAGAGCGGGCUUUGAGUCCCGUUACCUGGCUUUCUGGUUCUCAAUGUUCCCGGACUUUGGUAAAUGUAGUUUCUCCAGCAGGAAGUGCUACACAUAUACAAACAGGCAGAGACCGAAUUCAUACCACCUCUAACAAGAGAAGUAAAUCCUGGAGCCCCUUUCACUUCAACAUCUCCAGUCAUUUAACAGAGGCUCAUGAAGAUGGUGCAUCUAGAAGAAAUGCUGAGAAUGGAUUUGAGGCCAACUUGGUGCAUUCAAGAAGAGACAAAGACUGCGAGACUUUAUGUCAAGAACAUUUUAUAAAGAGUGAGUCCACAGAUACUACUGAGGACAGAUCCAAAGAUAAAGGAAUAAAAGAACCAGACUUGCAGAAAGACAUCUAUCUUAACAACCGUUGCAUUGCACAAAGUGAAAGCAACUAUCAGAGAGAGACUACGAACACAGGGGAUGUCAACCUCACUCCAGAACCUGAAGCACCAGCCAACUCCCCACUUUCAGAUUUAGCCAGCCCUAGAGAACAUGCUGGUGCCAGCAACCCAGAUAAUAAAGGCAUCAAGCCUGCAGUGGAGGGAAAAUUAGUUAGCCCCUUUCUUGGGAAAGAAGGUAUCCAUCCCCCAUCUUUCUGUAAUAAUGAUGGAUUGGGAGAAGAGAGGCCCAGCUGUAGAACACCCAGGAGUGAGAAACCUGACAAAGAAUCUUCCUUAAAGAAUAAUAAAUUGACAAAAGAGAGAUUUUGGAAAUACCAUACGAAUUGCUGCAAUGAAUUCCAGCCCUGCCCAAUUGCUCAGAAAGUAUUAAAGGAGCUGAAGACUACACUUCUGACUUCGAGAGAGCAGUUAGAUCUGUCCACGCAGGCUCCCCCCUCUGACAUGGAUCUACUGAAAGAACAAGAAGUGACCACAACUUGCCUUGUCCAGUGUAUAAACAGUGAGACGCCACUAACAAACAAAUGGGAAAAGGGAAACUAUAGCACUUUGCCAGACGUACACGCCUCCUUUGCUCCUGAUGGAAUUUGCCAUCAAGAGUUACCUGGAGAUGACAGUAAAAUUUCUUGUGGGCUUCCUCAGACAAUAACUCUGCAGCUGGGCCAACAAACCAGUAUAUCUCACCAAGAAGCUGGUGCUGAAUGCCAGUCUCUAUGUAAGGCAAUUGUUGAACCCAUCAGUGAAUUUCAAGAGAGCACUGAGAAAUGCAUUGUAAAAGUUCAGAGCAGGAUGGUGGAUAGUUUGGAGCAACUGCCGUUAAGAAAUGCCUCUGUUGGUGCCAAUCAUCUCCCGUCCAGAAGAUGCGAGAAUACACAUAAUGAACAUGUUGCCCAGGACUGGAAGUCUUUGGAUGCAGAAACCGAUUCGGAUGCACUGACACAAACAUAUAAUACCAUCAAUGAGCAUUUAGCAGGAGGUGAAGAAGGUUGUGUUCCUGCAUCUCCAAGUAUUUUGGACAGAGAACUCUGCAAUGUUAAAUCUCUACAACUCAGCGCUAUGGCAUCUGUCUAUACUUGCCUCCCACUCAGUGCAGAUGAAAGCACUCCGGAUCCUGACUCUAUAACUUCCAGUCCGAAUAUUAGUAAAGUUUCUUUAUUGGACAUUCAUGAAGUUGAACAUAAAAGUGUAGCAGACAGGAAGUCCAACCGUUAUUUGUCAAAUGCGGUUAUUUCGGUGCAGAAAAUGCAAAUUUCUCCAAGUGAAGAGAAAAGUGUAGGCAGAUUGAGAGAUGAAAGUGCUGAUGCUGAAUUCAUGCUUAAUGAGAAUGAGGGAGCUCAGUUUAAUAUUGACGAGGAGAAAACAAAGGCAUUUCAAUCUGACUGUACUGAGCACAAUUCGUAUGAGUUAGUUACCGUUGUUAGCUCAAAUGACACAGACGACCAAAAGAAUAUUAGGGAGCUGUUAGCCCCAAGUGACAUUUUGAGGAUUGAAAAUAAUACCUGGCAUAAUACAGACAACAAUCCUUAUAAAAGCUGCUUGGAAAAUGCCCGCAGUUCUAUAGCAGCCGAUCGUAAUGAAUGUGACGAUGUUGGAUGCAAAAAGGAAACUGGCCAUGAAUAUCUCUACCAACCUGCGGCAUCAAAAGGGUGCAGAUCCUCUACAAAUCCUUCUCUUACUGUUUAUGAAAGUCAAGCAGAAGAAAUCAGUGUUGCAGGCUAUGAUGCUACUGUUUCUCACUCAGGCCAUGCCUCCAGGAAUACAGGAAUUCAGCAAUUCGCUUGUAAUAAAAAGGACAAGUGUCAGCUCCAAAAUAUACAGGUAAAUCCAAAAAUGGAGAAGGAACCAGAUAUGAAAUAUUCUAACUCUAAAUACCACAUGUUAGUGGCUGGCAACACAGAUGCCAAGCUUUGUGUGGCAGGAGACGACCCCUCUGCCGGUCCAUAUUUAGAAAGCAGACAGCCCCUGGAGAUUGGACUAUGUUCUAAGACCAUUUGUCUGCCAGAGCAAUCUCACAGGUCUCUUCUGCCACAAGGUUCUGCGCUUUCCGACCCAUGGAAGAAGGAAUUGGAGCAAAACUGGAGUGAAAGUCUAUCAGCAAAACAACUCAAGAAAACAUAUUGUUCUGUUUUCAGACUACCGACUGAAGGCUCAUCUUUUGGGAAGCUUUGCCAGAAUGUAGACUGCACCAUUGAGCCUCCUGAUCUGAGCAAGGGAACAUCCUCCACUACCUCACUGACACCAAAUCCGUGUUUAUUGGGACAAGAAACGGAAAUGCAUGCAAAUGGAGAGUCUUGGGCAUUCAACCCUCAGCUGAUGGAUAAAGCCACAUAUUUAAGUUGCCUUUAUAAUCCAAAGGCACCGAGGAAACAAGCAAAUGAACGAAGUGUACUUUCUAAUCUCCGCUAUUGUAAAAUUUCAGCAAAAGUAUCCUUUGGUGCGGAGGAGGAGGAAGGGAGGUCAGUGUCACAAAAAAAAGAAAAUGACCCAGACCAAUUAACGAGUGACCAUCAGUAUAAACCUCCAGCUAAAAAAGUAGUCCCCACAGAUAGCGACUGA
This 3612-nucleotide long non-coding RNA is filed under the name Chrysemys picta bellii (western painted turtle). RNAcentral describes it as "lncRNA (ENSCPBG00000012119.1)". Lineage: Eukaryota; Metazoa; Chordata; Testudines; Emydidae. The record is from RNAcentral.